RNAcentral lists this ribosomal RNA (994 nucleotides) under uncultured marine bacterium. Its description in RNAcentral is "bacterial SSU rRNA". It matches the Rfam family "Bacterial small subunit ribosomal RNA", at positions 69 to 1065 of the family's 1533-position model. The record is from RNAcentral.
GCAGCGCGGGAGCUUGCUCCUGGCGGCGAGUGGCGGACGGGUGAGGAACACGUAGGAAUCUGCCUUAGAGUGGGGAACAACUCGGGGAAACUCGAGCUAAUACCGCAUACACCCCAAGGGGUAAAGGUCGCUUGCGACCGCUCUAAGAUGAGCCUGCGUCCGAUUAGCUAGUUGGUAGGGUAAAGGCCUACCAAGGCGACGAUCGGUAGCUGGUCUGAGAGGAUGAUCAGCCACACUGGGACUGAGACACGGCCCAGACUCCUACGGGAGGCAGCAGUGGGGAAUAUUGGACAAUGGGCGAAAGCCUGAUCCAGCAAUGCCGCGUGUGUGAAGAAGGCUCUAGGGUUGUAAAGCACUUUCAGUUGGGAGGAAAGCCUCAGGGUGAACCCUGAGGUGUGACGUUACCAACAGAAGAAGCACCGGCUAACUCCGUGCCAGCAGCCGCGGUAAUACGGAGGGUGCAAGCGUUAAUCGGAAUUACUGGGCGUAAAGCGCGUGUAGGCGGAUAGAUAAGUCAAAUGUGAAAGCCCCGGGCUUAACCUGGGAACUGCAUUUGAUACUGUUUAUCUAGAGUAUGGUAGAGGGAAGUGGAAUUUCCGGUGUAGCGGUGAAAUGCGUAGAUAUCGGAAGGAACACCAGUGGCGAAGGCGGCUUCCUGGACCAAUACUGACGCUCAGACGCGAAAGCGUGGGUAGCGAACGGGAUUAGAUACCCCGGUAGUCCACGCCGUAAACGAUGAGAACUAGCUGCUGGGUAGCUUGACUACUUAGUGGCGCAGCUAACGCGUUAAGUUCUCCGCCUGGGGGAGUACGGCCGCAAGGCUAAAACUCAAAGGAAUUGACGGGGACCCGCACAAGCGGUGGAACAUGUGGGUUUAAUUCGGUGCAACGCGAAGAACCUUACCUACCCUUGACAUCCUGCCAACUCUCGGUAAAUAGAGAGGUGCCUUCGGGCAAGCAGUGACAGGUGCUGCAUGGCUGUCGUCAGCUCGUGU